This is a long non-coding RNA of Paramacrobiotus metropolitanus, 1144 nucleotides long. RefSeq lists it as uncharacterized. Lineage: Eukaryota; Metazoa; Tardigrada; Eutardigrada; Parachela; Macrobiotidae. The transcript has 3 exons. The record is from RefSeq and is a predicted model, not a curated record.
CGUUACGUAGCAACUUUUUCUGCAUUAUAAUGCAGACGGUGUCCUGUUUUGCAUACAAUGUAACACACUCUAUAGGAGACUGUGAAUUGGGACAAAGUUUUAGGACGUGUGAUUGUGUUCCACUGCACUGCUUAUUGUCAAUCUUGUAUCUACGCUACGUUUUGGUGCGCAUUUAUAGAGAUACUGUGAUAUACUGUAGUACGAUGGCCGUUUCUUGACCAGCAUGAUGCCAUGUAUCGCACGAAUUACCACGUCAAUCCGUACUGCAAUAUUCUGGCAUUUUUCGUUUCUGAAUCGAAAACACUCAACGCAUGAUACACGAUGCAAGACAUACAAAGGCACACAUGCGCAUUUCCACGCCAGUGUUCUCGUCCGAAUGCGCACCGUCGUCCACGUUGACUAAUAAUUCUGGUGUAGACCGGUUAGGGCAAGAGUCCCAACAGCACCAUACUGCCAGCGGCUAGGGCGCCCGCCACGGGCACCGUGAUCAACGCGCAUCCCAUAAUGUUGCCGAAGACCUUCCAGUUGACGGCGCGGGAACUGCGGACGGGAAACACAUUGUAUGGCACAUCAAAGAAACACCCAAUAAAAAGUAGCCGACAGCCACCACACUGCCGACAAUACAGUGCGUCGUACUGACGGGCAGUCCGAUCUUGGAGCACAGCAGCACCGUCGUGGCCGUUCCCAGUCCGAUGCAGAAACCACUGUAGUACACGCACACACUCAUGCACCAAUCUUUUAAGAAUACACAAGAUGAUGCGCGUGCCUGCUGGGAAUAAUCACAGCCAGACUGCUGCCCACCGUCUCGAUGACCUUUCGGCCCAGGACGCACAAGCCGACGGAGAUGCCCAGGCCGCCGAAGAGCAGCAGCCAGAUGGGCGUGCUCGACUGCUCCGGCACGUGCCCGCUGGAGAACACCACCCAGAUCGCCACCACCGGCCCGAUCGCGUUCCUGUAUAUCCACAAAAUAAAUCAUAUGACUGUGACUUCCUUUUUUCUUUGGGUUUUUACUGGCAUCUUAAGUUUGUUGAUGCCAUUUAUUUUUAUUUUGAUGACGUUAAGUUCUACAGACGUUUGCUUAUCGUUACUUUAAAGACGCUAUUUAGUUUUGAUUCAAUGAACCCGUUCGGUAGAUUUUUUUAUG